AGAUGGCGACCGGCGCACGGGUGAGUAACACGUAUUCAACCUGCCGAUAACUCGGGGAUAGCCUUUCGAAAGAAAGAUUAAUACCCGAUGGCAUAAUUAGACCGCAUGGUCUUAUUAUUAAAGAAUUUCGGUUAUCGAUGGGGAUGCGUUCCAUUAGGCAGUUGGUGAGGUAACGGCUCACCAAACCUUCGAUGGAUAGGGGUUCUGAGAGGAAGGUCCCCCACAUUGGAACUGAGACACGGUCCAA
This 247-nucleotide ribosomal RNA is filed under the name uncultured bacterium. RNAcentral's name for it is "partial 16S ribosomal RNA". It matches the Rfam family "Bacterial small subunit ribosomal RNA", at positions 86 to 334 of the family's 1533-position model. The record is from RNAcentral.